GGUGGCGGAAUGACUGUAAUGCGGUUGUGGAUAGCAUUUCCCAGUCGGGUUUUCGCUUUGUUCCACGGGAUGUUGGGGAGGAGAGAGGUGGGGUGACAGGGGCACUAUUGGAAAUUCUGAGAGGGGGGAGGGAGGAUAAGUUGCAGAGGUAAGGGAGAAUGUAGGAUGAAUGGUGAGGUGGUGGUGGGUUUUCAUGGCGAGAUGGGCUUGGGAAUGAUGAUGAUGUGGGGCUAGCAUGGUAUGAUGGUGCAGGACUUGGGAAUGAUGAUGACAUUGGGCUUGGUUGGAUUGAUGAACAUGUGCUUAUGUUUGUUGACAUCACUGCCAUUUCAUUUGGAGAUGGCUUACAUCCCUGUAAUCAAACAAGAUUUUACAGAUUUAGGGUUCUCUAAUUCAAAUUGAAAAAUCAAAAUUGCAUCUUAAUUCUGUAAAUCGAUCCUAAACAGGAAGCAGUUUUGAUAUGUUCUUCAAAGUUGCAAUAAGCCCCAAACCCUAGAACGAGAUUUUAAGUGAAUCGAGGUCUGGAAGUCAACUCAUCCCCCAAUCUUAUCUUGUUCUAACAUAAUAUCAAACAAAUUUUGAAAUAAUUGACCAGGGAAGUGAUUUCGAUAACGAAAUCAUCCUUAAAACGAAUGCAAACAUCUAGCAUUUAACGCUGAGAAAGGGGAUUUAGAAGUAAGUAGAUCUAGGAAAAACCCUAAUUACGAUACAGAUGAAAUUGGAAUUUGGAGAAACAGACCUUGGGAUAAGUGGUGCCGUCUUCUUCAACGACCCAACCAGCUUCAGCGCAGAGUGCUUUCAAGACCUCGUUAUUGUCACAGUGUUUGGGAAGACGAUAGUUCCCCUGAGAUCGAAGUCCGGCGUAGAUCUUUGCGGCGAUGGCUCUUCUUCUCCUCUCUCGUCUCUUGUUGUUCUCUCUCUCCUUCCACGACGGGAGCCGUC
This 942-nucleotide long non-coding RNA is filed under the name Lactuca sativa (garden lettuce). RNAcentral describes it as "long non-coding RNA (LSAT_LNC001748)". The record is from RNAcentral. Lineage: Eukaryota; Viridiplantae; Streptophyta; Magnoliopsida; Asterales; Asteraceae.